Molecule: long non-coding RNA, 1434 nt
Filed under: Callithrix jacchus (white-tufted-ear marmoset)
Lineage: Eukaryota; Metazoa; Chordata; Mammalia; Primates; Cebidae
Description: lncRNA (ENSCJAG00000071698.1)
Source: RNAcentral
AUGUUCUUGCUUAAAAUUGUUUCUCUCAUAUACUUGUCUUCUUUUUCUAAAUUUUAUUUUAUUAUCCUUGAAUGGCAGGAAAGAGUUCUAGAGAGAGAAGACAAAGGCAGUCUGUGUUUAAAAAAAAACCCAAGGCUGAAAAUUGAAGAACUGAAUAUGCAGCUUGGAAAGCGAACUGGACACAUGGAAAAUCUUGUCAGAUGGCUGCAUGCUUUUCACUGGAGGAGAGGGUGCCAGCCAUGGCUGCCUUUGAUCUUCAUCUUCUCAUCCAGGCUGUGUUUCCUUUCCUCAGCUGUGGUUCUCUCAGAGAAAGAGAGGAGGAAAUCAAUACUUUGAUCCUGAGGAAGGAAAGCAUGCGAAUGGAAUAAGUUAAGCACUUUGACACAGUGUUGAGUUAGAUAAAUGUUCUUCCUUAAAAUUGUCUCCCUCAUAUACUUAUCUUCUUUUUCUAAGUUUUAUUUUAUUAUCCUUGUAUGGCAGAAAAUAGUUCUAGAGAGAGAAGACAAAGGCAGUCUGUGUUUAGAAAAAACCCAAGGCUGAAAAUUGAAGAACUGAAUAUGCAGCUUGGAAAGCGAACUGGACACAAGGAAAAUCUUUUCAGGUAUGUUGGAUGUUAAGACUUUGUGUUAAGGCUCAUUUUUCCAUGUUCCUCAUUUCCUCCUCACAAAACAAAUGUAACAACAUUUGCAAGGCAGGCCCUUGCUGAAAUUAUUAUGUGGUGGAGACACUACUUCACAAACACAUUUCAUCCACUUAUUAAAGUCUCACACAUGGUUAUAGUCUGCAUGUAGAUGGAAAUAAGAGUGAUAAUCUGACACAGGUCAUUUUUCUUACUUGGCAAGAGAAGUUGACAAAGUUCUCCCCUCAGAAGCCAUAAAAUAAUUUGGCCUAAACAAUUUGUACUAAGAUUAUGAUGUUGUACAUGAAAACAAUAAAAUUCCUAAGCUCUGCUAGCAUACUGUGAAAGGUGAAUUAUGUAAGCAAUGGUGAGAAGACCGAAGCUUUAUUUACAAGAACAAUAUUGGCACUUUGUGAUUGCUGACCAAAACAAAUGUGUGAAAUGCUUCUCUGUGAUGAAUGAAAGAAAGGUGAAAGGAUGUCCCAGGUGAAUUUUAUGUUCGUUUUGUUUUCCAUUCUGUGUUUGUCUGGUACUGUUUUGUAAUAUUUAGUUAUAAUUUUAAUCGGGAGUAUUAGUUGAUGCAUCACACUGGCUCUUCUCCACAGUCCAGAAGAAACUGAUUAAAGCUCCGGGUGGGCUCAGGGAGUUAGUCUGGGAACAUAAAGAGAGCUAAUUUAAAGAGGAAGCAGAGUGUCAAAGAACCAUGGCACAAAAGUUCUUAGUCUUGUUACCGGGACUGUGUAAGGGAACCCGUUCUGAUUUCUUACAAAAAAUUGUCUUCUGAUAAAGCCCUGUUAAAUUAACGGAGGACACAG